UUGGAGAGUAUGAUACCGGCUCAGGACGAACGCUGGCGGCGUGGAUUAGGCAUGCAAGUCGAACGAGAAUCAUGGCUUCGGCUGUGAGGAUAGUGGCGAAAGGGUGAGUAACGCGUAGGUAAUUUGCCUUUGAGUUAAGAAUAACAUACCGAAAGGGAUGCUAAUACUGAAUACGAUCGGGGAGUCUUUGGCCCCCCCGAUGAAAGGUGCAAACCGCUCAAAGAUAAGCCUGCGUCCUAUUAGCUUGUUGGUGAGGUAACGGCUCACCAAGGCGACGAUGGGUAGCUGGUCUGAGAGGAUGGUCAGCCACAUUGGGACUGAGACACUGCCCAAACUCCUACGGGAGGCUGCAGUCGAGAAUAUUUCGCAAUGGGGGAAACCCUGACGAUGCGACGCCGCGUGGAGGAUGAAUGCCUUCGGGUUGUAAACUCCUUUUCUAAGAGACGAAGAUCUGACUGUAUCUUAGGAAUAAGCCCCAGCUAACUACGUGCCAGCAGCUGCGGUAAGACGUAGGGGGCAAGCGUUGUCCGGAAUUACUGGGCGUAAAGCGUGCGCAGGCGGCCAUGUAAGUCAAGUAUGAAAUCGAUUGGCUCAACCAAUCAACUGUGCUCGAAACUACAUGGCUUGAGUACGAGAGGGGAAAGCGGAAUGUACAGUGUAGCGGUGAAAUGCGUAGAGAUUGUACAGAACACCCACGGCGAAGGCAGCUUUCUGGCUCGAUACUGACGCUCAGGCACGAAAGUUAGGGGAGCGAAAGGGAUUAGAUACCCCUGUAGUCCUAACCGUAAACGAUGGGUACUAAGUAUAGGAGGGAUUACCCUUCUGUGCUGUAGCUAACGCAUUAAGUACCCCGCCUGAGGAUUACGGCCGCAAGGUUAAAACUCAAGGUAAUUGACGGGAGGCCGCACAAGCGGUGGAGCAUGUCGCUUAUAUUCGAAGCAACGCGAAGAACCUUACCAGGGCUUGACAUCCUUUGACCGCCAUAGAAAUAUGGUUUUCCCUUCGGGGACAAAGUGACAGGUGCUGCAUGGCUGUCGUCAGCUCGUGUCGUGAGAUGUUGGGUUAAGUCCCGCAACGAGCGCAACCCUUGUUGUUAGUUGCCAGCACGUAAUGGUGGGGACUCUAACGAGACUGCUGGUUAAAAGCCAGAGGAAGGUGGGGAUGACGUCAAGUCCGCAUGGCCCUUAUGCCCUGGGCUGCACACGUGCUACAAUGGCUGGUACAGAGGGUCGCCAACCCGCGAGGGGGAGCCAAUCCUUUAAAGCCAGCCCCAGUUCGGAUUGGAGUCUGCAACUCGACUCCAUGAAUGUUGGAAUCGCUAGUAAUCGCGGAUCAGCAUGCCGCGGUGAAUACGUUCCCGGCCUUUGUACACACCGCCCGUCACGCCAUGAAAGUUGGUAGCAUUCUAAGCCGGUGGCCUAACCUUUUGGAGGGAGCCGUCCAAAGUGAGAUCAGCGAUUGGGGCGAAGUCGUAACAAGGUAGCCGUAGGGGAACCUGCGGCUGGAUCACCUCCUUUUUAAGGAG
Molecule: ribosomal RNA, 1525 nt
Filed under: Candidatus Poribacteria bacterium
Lineage: Bacteria; Candidatus Poribacteria
Description: bacterial SSU rRNA
Rfam family: Bacterial small subunit ribosomal RNA
Source: RNAcentral